Molecule: small nucleolar RNA, 218 nt
Organism: Manihot esculenta (cassava)
Lineage: Eukaryota; Viridiplantae; Streptophyta; Magnoliopsida; Malpighiales; Euphorbiaceae
Product: small nucleolar RNA U3
Exons: 1
Source: RefSeq, a predicted model, not a curated record
ACGACCUUACUUGAACAGGAUCUGUUCUAUAGGAUCGUACCUCUGUGUCCUUUAGCACGAAGGAGACAGGAACUCACGUCUGGUGGAUGAACAAUGACCGUGGGAUCAGAGCGUGAUUAAUGGCUGGAUCAGUUCUUCAGAAUUGUUUACGGCUGUAGAGGAUCGUUCUCGGUUGGGGAUUCCCUAGCUGGGGCGGUCCCACGGUUGUCUGACAGACU